GUAUCAAUAAGCGGAGGAAAAGAAACCAACAGGGAUUGCCCUAGUAACGGCGAGUGAAGCGGCAACAGCUCAAAUUUGAAAUCUGGCCUCUGGCCCGAGUUGUAAUUUGCAGAGGAAACUUUAGGCACGGCACCUCCUGAGUCCCCUGGAACGGGGCGCCAUAGAGGGUGAGAGCCCCGUAUAGUUGGAUGCCUAGCCUGUGUAAAGCUCCUUCGACGAGUCGAGUAGUUUGGGAAUGCUGCUCAAAAUGGGAGGUAAAUUUCUUCUAAAGCUAAAUACCGGCCAGAGACCGAUAGCGCACAAGUA
RNAcentral lists this ribosomal RNA (306 nucleotides) under uncultured Chaetomium. RNAcentral describes it as "partial large subunit ribosomal RNA". It matches the Rfam family "Eukaryotic large subunit ribosomal RNA", at positions 40 to 350 of the family's 3401-position model. Lineage: Eukaryota; Fungi; Ascomycota; Sordariomycetes; Sordariales; Chaetomiaceae. The record is from RNAcentral.